This 541-nucleotide ribosomal RNA is filed under the name uncultured bacterium. RNAcentral describes it as "bacterial SSU rRNA". It matches the Rfam family "Bacterial small subunit ribosomal RNA", at positions 355 to 908 of the family's 1533-position model. The record is from RNAcentral.
UGGGGAAUCUUGGACAAUGGGGGCAACCCUGAUCCAGCCAUGCCGCGUGAGUGAUGAAGGCCUUAGGGUCGUAAAGCUCUUUCGCCUGUGAAGAUAAUGACGGUAGCAGGUAAAGAAACCCCGGCUAACUCCGUGCCAGCAGCCGCGGUAAUACGGAGGGGGUUAGCGUUGUUCGGAAUUACUGGGCGUAAAGCGCACGUAGGCGGACCAGAAAGUUGGGGGUGAAAUCCCGGGGGCUCAACCCCGGAACUGCCUCCAAAACUAUUGGUCUAGAGUUCGAGAGAGGUGAGUGGAAUUCCAAGUGUAGAGGUGAAAUUCGUAGAUAUUUGGAGGAACACCAGUGGCGAAGGCGGCUCACUGGCUCGAUACUGACGCUGAGGUGCGAAAAGUGUGGGGAGCAAAACAGGAUUAGAUACCCUGGUAGUCCACGCCGUAAAACGAUGUCUGCUAGACGUCGGGGGGCGCAGCCCUUCGGUGUCGCAGCUAACGCAUUAAGCAGACCGCCUGGGGGAGUACGGCCGCAAGGUUAAAACUCAAAAUG